RNAcentral lists this ribosomal RNA (439 nucleotides) under uncultured bacterium. RNAcentral's name for it is "partial 16S ribosomal RNA". It matches the Rfam family "Bacterial small subunit ribosomal RNA", at positions 339 to 795 of the family's 1533-position model. The record is from RNAcentral.
CCUCGGGAGGCAGCAGUGAGGAAUAUUGCACAAUGGGGGGAACCCUGAUGCAGCAACGCCGCGUGGAGGAUGACGCAUUUCGGUGUGUAAACUCCUUUUAUGUGUCAAGAAAAUGACGGUAGCAUAUGAAUAAGCACCGGCUAACUCCGUGCCAGCAGCCGCGGUAAUACGGAGGGUGCAAGCGUUACUCGGAAUCACUGGGCGUAAAGGACGCGUAGGCGGGUUGGAAAGUCAGGUGUGAAAUCCUACAGCUUAACUGUAGAACUGCACUUGAAACUUCUAAUCUAGAGUAUGGGAGGGGGAGAUGGAAUUAGUGGUGUAGGGGUAAAAUCCGUAGAUAUCACUAGGAAUACCUAAAGCGAAGGCGAUCUCCUGGAACAUUACUGACGCUAAGGCGUGAAAGCGUGGGGAGCAAACAGGAUUAGAUACCCGCGUAGUC